RNAcentral lists this transfer RNA (73 nucleotides) under Paramuricea clavata. It matches the Rfam family "tRNA". From Rfam's summary of the family: Transfer RNA (tRNA) molecules are approximately 80 nucleotides in length. Their secondary structure includes four short double-helical elements and three loops (D, anti-codon, and T loops). Lineage: Eukaryota; Metazoa; Cnidaria; Anthozoa; Malacalcyonacea; Plexauridae. The record is from Rfam by way of RNAcentral.
GACCGCGUAGCUCAGUUGGCAGAGUAUUGGACUAGUAUUCCAAAGGUCGUAGGUUCGAUUCCCACUGUGAUAA